ACUGGCACCUUGGCCUCCCAAAA
This 23-nucleotide unclassified non-coding RNA is filed under the name Mus musculus (house mouse). RNAcentral's name for it is "oocyte_clustered_small_RNA356". Lineage: Eukaryota; Metazoa; Chordata; Mammalia; Rodentia; Muridae. The record is from RNAcentral.